Molecule: ribosomal RNA, 253 nt
Filed under: Prevotellamassilia timonensis
Lineage: Bacteria; Pseudomonadati; Bacteroidota; Bacteroidia; Bacteroidales; Prevotellaceae
Description: partial 16S ribosomal RNA
Rfam family: Bacterial small subunit ribosomal RNA
Source: RNAcentral
UACGGAAGGUCCAGGCGUUAUCCGGAUUUAUUGGGUUUAAAGGGAGCGCAGGCGGACCUUUAAGUCAGCUGUGAAAUACGGCGGCUCAACCGUCGAACUGCAGUUGAUACUGGAGGUCUUGAGUGCACAUAGGGAUACUGGAAUUCAUGGUGUAGCGGUGAAAUGCUCAGAUAUCAUGAAGAACUCCAAUCGCGAAGGCAGGUAUCCGGGGUGCAACUGACGCUGAGGCUCGAAAGUGCGGGUAUCAAACAGG